UAGGGAAUAUUGCACAAUGGAGGAAACUCUGAUGCAGCGACGCCGCGUGAGUGAUGAAGGCCUUCGGGUUGUAAAGCUCUGUUCUCAGGGAAAAAGAAAGUGAUGGUACCUGAGAAGAAAGGACCGGCUAACUUCGUGCCAGCAGCCGCGGUAAGACGAGGGGUCCUAGCGUUGUUCGGAAUCAUUGGGCGUAAAGCGGGUGUAGGCGGCCUUAUAAGUCAGAAGUGAAAGCCCCGAGCUUAACUCGGGAAGUGCUUUUGAUACUGUAGGGCUUGAAUGUGGGAGAGGAUGGUGGAAUUCCUGGUGUAGUGGUGAAAUACGUAGAUAUCAGGAGGAACAUCGGUGGCGAAGGCGGCCAUCUGGCCCAACAUUGACGCUCAGACCCGAAAGCGUGGGGAUCAAACA
This 405-nucleotide ribosomal RNA is filed under the name uncultured Bdellovibrio sp. RNAcentral's name for it is "bacterial SSU rRNA". It matches the Rfam family "Bacterial small subunit ribosomal RNA", at positions 355 to 774 of the family's 1533-position model. Lineage: Bacteria; Pseudomonadati; Bdellovibrionota; Bdellovibrionia; Bdellovibrionales; Pseudobdellovibrionaceae. The record is from RNAcentral.